RNAcentral lists this ribosomal RNA (305 nucleotides) under uncultured bacterium. RNAcentral's name for it is "bacterial SSU rRNA". It matches the Rfam family "Bacterial small subunit ribosomal RNA", at positions 337 to 640 of the family's 1533-position model. The record is from RNAcentral.
GCCUACGGGGCGCAGCAGUGAGGAAUAUUGGUCAAUGGUCGGGAGACUGAACCAGCCAAGCCGCGCGAGGGAGGAAGGUACAGAGUAUCGUAAACCUCUUUUGUCAGGGAACAAAGACUGGGACGCGUCCCCGGAUGAGCGUACCCGAAGAAAAAGCAUCGGCUAACUCCGUGCCAGCAGCCGCGGUAAUACGGAGGAUGCGAGCGUUAUCCGGAUUUAUUGGGUUUAAAGGGUGCGUAGGCGGACUGUCAAGUCAGCGGUAAAAUACGGGGGCUCAACCUCCGCCCGCCGUUGAAACUGACGGU